AGUGGGGAAUAUUGGACAAUGGGGGCAACCCUGAUCCAGCCAUGCCGCGUGAGUGAUGAAGGCCUUCGGGUUGUAAAGCUCUUUUGGCGGGGACGAUGAUGACGGUACCCGCAGAAUAAGCCCCGGCUAACUUCGUGCCAGCAGCCGCGGUAAGACGAAGGGGGCUAGCGUUGUUCGGAAUUACUGGGCGUAAAGCGAGUGUAGGUGGUUGUCAUAGUCAGGUGUGAAAGCCUUGAGCUCAACUCAAGAAAUGCACUUGAUACUGGGCGACUAGAGGACCGGAGAGGAUAGUGGAAUUCCCAGUGUAGUGGUGAAAUACGUAGAGAUUGGGAAGAACACCAGUGGCGAAGGCGGCUAUCUGGACGGUUACUGACACUAAGACUCGAAAGCGUGGGGAGCAAA
This 402-nucleotide ribosomal RNA is filed under the name Reyranella massiliensis. RNAcentral's name for it is "bacterial SSU rRNA". It matches the Rfam family "Bacterial small subunit ribosomal RNA", at positions 353 to 772 of the family's 1533-position model. The record is from RNAcentral. Lineage: Bacteria; Pseudomonadati; Pseudomonadota; Alphaproteobacteria; Hyphomicrobiales; Reyranellaceae.